UACGGAAGGCAGCAGUGGGGAAUAUUGCACAAUGGGCGAAAGCCUGAUGCAGCUAUGCCGCGUGUAUGAAGAAGGCCUUAGGGUUGUAAAGUACUUUCAUCGGGGAGGAAAAAACAAAACUAAUAAUUUUAUUUCUUGACGUUACCCGAAAAAGAAGCACCGGCUAACUCCGUGCCAGCAGCCGCGGUAAUACGGAGGGUGCUAGCGUUAAUCAGAAUUACUGGGCGUAAAGAGCACGUAGGUGGUUUUUUUAAGUCAGAUGUGAAAUCCCUGGGCUUAACCUGGAACUGCAUUUUGAAACUGAAAUACUAGAGUAUCGUAGAGGGAGGUAGAAUUCUAGGUGUAGCGGUGAAAUGCGUAGAUAUCUGGAGGAAUACCUGUGGCGAAAGCGGCCUCCUAAACGAAUACUGACACUGAGGUGCGAAAGCGUUGGGGAGCAAACGAGGAUUAGAUA
RNAcentral lists this ribosomal RNA (454 nucleotides) under uncultured bacterium. RNAcentral describes it as "bacterial SSU rRNA". It matches the Rfam family "Bacterial small subunit ribosomal RNA", at positions 340 to 784 of the family's 1533-position model. The record is from RNAcentral.